RNAcentral lists this unclassified non-coding RNA (1034 nucleotides) under Hevea brasiliensis (rubber tree). Lineage: Eukaryota; Viridiplantae; Streptophyta; Magnoliopsida; Malpighiales; Euphorbiaceae. The record is from RNAcentral.
AGAAGAAGAAGAAAAAAAAAAAAAAAGCCCCAAAGGUAAUUUGCCUGUCACGGACAAUGACAAAUCCCCUAAUCAAUCGGUAGCUUCCUGCAAAGACACGAUUCAAUCCAAGGUAUAAUUGACCAAUUACCUUACUAAUUCUUUCGAUUUCUUUAUGCAUUCCUCUCGUCUCAAUAGCAACAAACCCUAGAUUGCUACUCUCUCUUUAGGUAUUUGAUAUGGAGAAUAUGCAGUACGCGGAGGAGCUGGUAAGGGAAUUUCUAGUUUUUAGAGGGUUUACUAAUGCUCUGCAGGCUUUCGAGAUGGAAUUAUCCACGGAUAUUGGUAAAGGGUUUCAAGUAGAUAAGAUAUUAGACUUAAUCUUCUCCAUAUACAUUCCCAAAUUUCAAGCAGAGAAAUUGGUCGGUCUGCUUAGGUUCUUCAAGCAGUGUUUUUCUUCGGUAUCUGAGGCUGUACUUCUUUCUACUUUAUCGAAGCUGGAGGUUUCGAUUCUUCGUUAUUAUAUCGUUUGCGCGGUGCAAUCAGGAAGGAAAGAUAAAGUGGUGGAAUUUUUUGGAAUGAAUGGAAAUGAUUUGCUGCAAAGAGGUGGUGAUUGGACUCCGUGGUUUGCUAUUCCGUAUUUGAAGAACCCCAGCUUGGAUCCUCAGUUUCGCAUUUAUUUCUCUAAGGAGUGGUAUGAAGCAUUGCGCCUUUCUGUGAGGAAUUUCUUCAGUGAGAUCUUCAGUGGUACUCGCAUCCCUGCCCUGUUGAGGAUCAGUUCAGAGAAGAACACAAUCAAGCAUCUCAACAACGACAUCAAGCAACUUAACAUGAAGCUAUCGCAACUUCAGGCUUUAUUUGAGGAGAAAGAGGCUCAGUUGUGCAGGUUGAGGAGUAAUGGCAACAAUGCUGCAUCUAUAUUGGAUUCUAAUGUGGGACAAGGCAACAAUUCAACCCCAUCAAGUGCUAUGAGGACUGUGGAAACUUGUGUUUCUGCUAUCCCUAGUAUAAGUGAAACUGAGCAGGCUCAAGAAAGGGCCACUGGUGGACCUGCC